CGUGUGUGUGUGUGUGUGUGUGUGUGUGUGUGUGUGUGUGUGUGCGUGUGUGUGUGUGUGUGUAUGUGUCGGGUGUGUGACUAUGUGUGGGGCUGGUUGGUGUGGGCUGGUUGGUGUGAGACCGCUGGGAGGGGGAGGGGGACAAGCAUCUUGGAUGGCUGGAUGGGUUCUACAGCAAGGCAGGGCUGCUGGGCACGUGCCUGUCUCCAGGACCCGGGGCCUGCGAAGGCUUGAGCGGCUGUGCGCCGGCCUCCUGUGCGGCCCCCAUCUCGACGUGACAGGGACGUGGAGUCUGGCGGCCACGACGGCGCGGCGGCCGGCGCGGCGGCGGCCAAGCGCUCCGCUGUCACCGUCUCCACCAUCCACGCCGCAAAGGGCCUGGAGUUCCCCGCGGUGUUCGUGGCCAGGUGGGUGGUGGUGAAUGCCCGGGCCCAACGACUACGAUCGGUCAUGAGUGGGGCUUCGCGAGUAAUGCGGCUGAGAGGGGCAUGUUUAUUUGUGUCUUGGCGGACACGCCACGGAAACAGCAGUUGAGUUUUGGUCGCAGAAGGGGCAGCAGCAGCAGCCGUCCUACGCAUUCCACCACCACCACCACCACUACCACCACCACUACCUCUAUGAUCAGUCUCCACCACCACCGCCCCCUGCCCGCGCACAGGUGGAGCCAGGGCUACCUGCCCACCCUGUACCGCCCCGACAAGAAGCGCGGCAAGAACAUGAGCGAAGCGGAUCGGGCGGCCUUCGAGGAGCAGGACGCGCAGGAGCACACGGAGGUGUGUGUGUGUGUGUGCCGUGAACACUGUAGCCCCAGGACCGACGGCAACUGCGGCUGCAAGACGCUGCCGCCUCACGUGUAUGUGCGUGUGUAUGCAGGAGGAGCGGCGGCUGGCGCACGUGGCCGUCACCCGUGCCAUGGAGCGCCUAUAUAUCACAUCAAUUCGGUGCGGCACCGGGCGGGCGGGCGGCUGGGAUUGCGGGCGACCCUGCUUCCGCCCCUGCUGGCUGGCCUUGCUGCUGCCCCUGCCGUACUUACCCGUGUCUGCCUGCUCUCCAGCACUGCGCCCUGACGCCACCAUCCGUGACUCUCCCUCCAUCCUCCAAUCGUCUUCCGAGCUCAACCACGUCUCUGCCUACCUGCCUGCCGUGUCUGCCUGCCUAAUGGUCCCCGUACCCACACCCACACCCACACCCGCGCCCACGCCCACACCUGCACAGGGUGGGCCAGAUGUUUGGCGAGCCCAUCCUGGUGCCCCCCUCCAGCAUCAGCCUGCCCGCUGACCCCGCGGUGGUGGAGCGGCGGGUGCUGCCGGUCAGCAAUAAGGAGCGCAAGUUGGCGGAGCGGGCGGAGGAGAUCGCGGAACGGCGAGUGAACGGCCUGGGUUAGCUGGCUGGCUGGCUGGCUGCGCCUGCGACCCGGACGCGCAGUAACACAAUAGCGUGUGUCGAGCGGGUGGGCAGGUGCUUUGAAUGUUCUUCAUACCGUAUUGUUUACCUCGAGGCACCGCAUGAGCCUCAGAGAUUGCGAACUGUGUAUUGGCGGGGCAGGUAGGACGUGACCGUGAGGCCGUAGCUGGCCGUGGUGCGUGCGAGUGUAGCAGGAACGCUGUAAAAGGACUUGAUGACGAGCUGGGGCUACCCUUAGAGUAGGGACUUACGCGCCGUCAGGCCUUCCUCCCACAGCGAGCAACAGGACAGCGGGUGCAGCGGCAGCUUGAAGCCGGUUGCGAUUCCCAGUAGUCAUUUUCUUUUACCGAUCAUGCGGUAAUACGGUAGGUAAUUGCGGCAGAUGCAUGGUGUGAACACGUGGGACGUGUGUAAGCGCACGUGACUGUUACACUGUUAUGCCAUUACGCCGGCGGUGCAUUUCGCCGUCACGGUGUGUGCGGGUCUAGGGGUGAUGCGUGUCAGGGCUAGGGUUUGUGUGUACGCGUGCGUGACUUGGCGAGCAUGACACUUGCCGUACGGUUGGUAGGCGCACUUAGCGGACGGUGACGCCUGGUAUCAGUGCCGCUGUCCGCUGAUACUCCACAUUGGCAACGUCGCUGUGACUCGGAGCGAGCAAACUGACCCCCUGUAAACUGCGAGGAGGCCGGGGUGCUCAGCGGCAGUCCAGACUCAAGACUAGCACUGGCCAGCUAGCGAUGCGGGGGCAUCGGGUAGCGGGCGCAACUAAUUCCCGGGCUGCGACGGUAGUCCACUCGGUCCAAUGCGGCCGGUGACGAGCUAGCCAGUAGGCACAAGCAGAUGGUCGUGACAACACCUUAACAGUUAACACAGCCCAUGGACACGGCCUCGAACAGAACGCCUGUCACUAUCAAGUCGGAGAACUGCUGGUGUGUGCGUGUGUGUCCGUGCAUUACGGGAACGGAAGAUGCGCCCAUCUUACCUGUACCACACACCUAGGAGUGCCAUGUCAGGCCCCCGCUUUGCCUCGACCUGUGAACUGCUGCUCGUGCUCUAUUUCAUCCCCUUCAUCCACAUUUGAGCUCCACGGCCCGGCCACCUCCCAUCCGCAUUCAAACAUCCGUCGCAACGCCUGCCCUGUGCCCGCGCAUAGUCCUCCCGCCUCUGCUGAGUUGCUUUAAGAGCCAUGUUCAAGUCGACAAAGUCAUGAUAGAAGUGACCCCGUAAGAGUUCUAUGUACGCAUGCGUGUUGCUGAGUCUUCGUCGAUCGGCAUUCAAUUCACCUUGAUGACCCUACGAACGGGAGGCCCCGCAGCGCACGUGAGGAGAAGGCUGCGAAAGCGCACGCCACCCAAUUGCCGUGGUGCCUCAUGCAACGCGCAGGCGCGCACAGCCGCAUGCCGCGUAUGAACAAUCAACAUCCACAACAACAACAUCUUUCCGACGCCAUGAAGUCGCAGGCGCGCGCCACCAACAUGGCGUGACGCGCGCCCUCAGUGAUCGGUAUGCACAUGGGUAAAUGCCGUACGUCGCAGUUGCUCACACACGUGGAAGCACUCAGUCCAGCACAACCAACGGACGCCACACAUACGGUAUGCACACAGCUGCGACAGAUGGACGGAAAUCCAAGCUCGGCAGACACGACAGGCCGCCCGCCGCAAUACACGCACGCGCCCCAUACCCAUACCCUGCCAACCCUGCUGACCGCGACGCGCCAGCACUGCUAGAACCCUGGCAACGGCACCGCGCUCCCACCCACAGCCGCGGGCAUCCUGUCUGGGCGCUGCUGCCUCUUCCCCUUCCCCGCACACGCGCGCACCACCUACCCGCCCUUAUCCCUCAGCCCUCGCGCCUCUCCCAAAUGUCCCUCAUCCCUGCGGCCUCAGCGGCUGCAGCACCGGCACGCUGGGCAUGCUGGGCGCACGCACGGCCUUGGACUCCCACCGGAUUGCCAGCGGGUGAGCCGCCGACCCGCUAUGUCCACCGCCGGCACCGCCGCCGGCUGGAGAGGCGCAGCCGCUGCCGCCGACGCCGCCAAAGCCGUCGGGCAGCUCCAUGCGCGCUAGCAGUGAGCCGUCGCCGGCAAUGGAAGCGCGCAGGCGGGUCAUGGCGGCGCCGCCAGGCGCCGUCGGGCCAGGUGACAAUGCAGUGGCGGCGGCGGCGGCGCCGCCGCCGCCGCUGCCGCCGCCGCCAAUGCGCGGCAGCGAUGGAGAGGGCAGUUGGAUGCCGGCGGCGGCGGUUAUGGAGCCGGCGGCGUUGGUGAUGGCCUGCAUGCGGCUGCCAGCGGCGCCGCGAAUGGGGGACGUCAAGGCGGCGGCGGCGGCGCCGCCGCCGCCGCAGCCGCCCGUCGCCAGGUAGCCGGAUAUCGGCAGCGGCGUGCCCCCGGCGCUACCUGGCGCGCUGGCCACGCCGUUGAGGCUGCUCCGCCGCGUCAGCAGCCGCGCCGGCGUGCCCAACAGCGCGGCGGUGGCGGCGGCGUCGUUCACGGCGCCGCCCGAGCCCACGAAUGGCCCGGCGCCGGUGAUGGAAGAGCGCAUGGCGCGUGGCUUGAAGGGCCCGCCGGGCCCAGCCAUGCCCGCCGCGCUAGCCAGCCCGGCGGGGAAGGCAGGGAGCAUCGAGCCACUGCCAGGCGCGGCCGCCAGCGUGCCGCCGGCGCCGGCGCCGGCGCCGAUGGCGGCGGCGACGGAGACGGCGGCGGCGGCGGCGCCGGCGGCGGCGGCGCUGCUAGGCGAGUUGGCGCUGUCGCUGGGCAGAUGGCUGCUGCACUGCCGGACCAGCGGCAGGAUGCGGUGCGGCUCUCGCUGCCGGUCCAUUACCAUGCUAAACGAGCCGCCGCUAGACGCAACACCGCCGCCAGCGCCGCCGCCGCCGCUGCCGCCAACGGCGGGCAGCAGGGUGCCGCUGCCACUGACCGUGCCGCCGGCGCCGGCGCCGCCGCCGCCCACGAUGGCGGCGGCGGCGGCGGCGUAGCCGCCGUUGAUGAGGCCCGGCACGCCUGAGAAGGAUCCACCCGAGGACCGGACCGCAGGCGCCAUGGAUCCAACGUUGGAUCCGGUGCGGAGGCCCUUCACGGCCUGUGUGUGUGUGUGGAGCGCCGACAGGUGUGCGUGUACCGUAGUUAGGGGGCUGGUUGCCGUACUGAUGCAGUGGAUGCAUCCGGAUGUAAGUACGGCACGGUCUGUGCAUCAGUGUCAUCAGUGCACGCAUGGUUCAUCAGUGUCAGGAAAGCACACAUGCUCAACGUGCAUGUGUGAUUGUAGCCGCCCCACGGCCGGGCCCUGCAAACGCGCAUCCACAUCCGCUCAAAAGGCACCUGGGAGGUGGCUGACCCCAAGCCCUAGUCCGUGUCCCUGACAUCCACCCACCCACCCACCCACUCGCUUACCCUGAAGCCCAUGGACUCGAGUACGUCCAGGGGCCGCACGGCGGCGGGCGGCCGCGGAUGCUGCGGCGACAGCAGCGCCGGCAGCGGUGACGGACCGGUGGCCUGCAGGGCGGCAAAAGGCGGCAGCAGCGGCAGCAGCGGCGGCAGCGGCGCAUGAGGAGGUACUCGCUCGAACGGCCUCCCCACGGGCGGCACGGCACCGUACUAGACCUACCACUCCGUCGCAAGCACGGAUAGACACGGGCAUUGACAUACACAUGCAUGGGCAGCACACACACAUACACACACGCACACACACAUACACACACAUAUAUACACACACACACACACACGCGUACCGGCGGCGAGGGCGUUGCCACGGACAGGUUUGCGGAGGAGGCUGCGGAGGGCAGCAGCAGGCCCGCUCGCAGCUGCCCGCGCCGCGCCAGCAGCGCCUCCCGCCGCGCCUCUGCGAACGGCGGCAGCGCAGAACGCAAGUACCCAUAACGCGCCAGCAGCUGCCUGAGGGGUGAAGGGGAGUGCGGCGGAGUGCGGCGGAGUGGGGCGUAGCAAAGCGAUGGCGGGCUGCUGAGUGAGGCGUGUGCAGGGGGCGCGUGCGGCAUGCGUGCGUGGCAACGUCAGGAAUCGUGGCGUGUGGGGCUGGCCAGGUGCGGUGCCAGGGCCAAGAGCAUGUCAUCACCAUUCGAGGCGCUGCCGCGUUUACCCACGGCAGGCGCACGAAAACAAACCGCUCUCGCAGCCGCACCACCACCCAACUAGGUCUGGAUUGCCAGCCGCCAAUCUCCCCUGUAGUCUUCCCAGUCUCCCCAUUCUCCACAGUCGUGCCCAGCCUCCCCGCCCGGGACUUAUGACGUUGGGCUCGGGCACAUAGCCUCCCCGCCCUCACCUGCUGAGCACCAGCAGGCGGGUCGGCCGCGCCGCCACCACAGUGGCCAGGAAGGCGGAGGGCGGGAAGGGCGUGUCGUCAUCCGCGGGGAACACCUCGUGCCCGGCAGGGCCCACGCCGCCGGCGGGGGCUGCGGCGGUGCCGCGACGCGCCUGCGACAGCGAGCAACAGCAACAGCAGCAGCGCGCAGCGAGCCCCGGUGUUUCAAGAUUCAUGACACGGCACCUGACAAGCGGAGCGGGUUGAGUGAAGGCGCGUGGGAGCCGCGAGUGCUGGUGCGAGGAGCCGGCAGAGCGCGGCCGUACCUCCCCGCUUUGGCUUGCCGCGUGCCUCCAGCAAUUGCUGCGCCCAGUCAAAACCCUUGGCGCGCUGCUCCCACACACAAACAGCCCACCCACACAUGUAGCUCGCCCCCCCCCCCCGCCCACACCCAGCCACCCACCUUGGCCAGGUCUGCCGGGUAGCCCAGCACGCUCUCCCCGAACGAGCCGCCCGACCCCAACAGCGACAACGUGGACAGCGCCGCCGCCGCGCGCCGGGCCUUGAUGGACGUGAGCUGCGCACCGCCACCAACACUGCUGGAGCCGCCGCCGCCGCCGCUGCCGCCGCCGCCUGCUGUGCCGCCGCCGCCGACAGCUCCAUUGCGGGGCAACCCCUCCGGGGGCAGCGGCGCCAGCGGUGUCAAGGCGGAGGAAGCGGAGCGCUCCGGUGCGCUGCCGGUGGUGGAGGCGGAGGCGGCUGCGCCGCCGGCCGAGCCGCCAAAGGCGUCAGAGUCGUCGAGCAGGCGCACUUCGCCCUCCUGCGGUCCGGCACACACACACACCGACAAAGUUGUGUCGUGGUGUUGCUGAGGUUGCUAUUGGUGAUGGUGUGGGUGCAAGGAGGCAAGGAGGCAAGGUGCAAGGAGGCAAUUUGAGAGGCCACACUUGACGACACCCAGCAUGAAGGGCCCCCGGGCGGCGGUAGCGCUCUCGCUUCCUUCCUUCCUUGUUCUGUCCUGUACAGAAGCCGUUUCGCCCGCCCCCGCGCCCGCCCCCGCCCCCGUUGCCACCCCCGCCCCCGCCGCCCCCACGCCGACUCACCAGCACCACGUACAGCGCGUCCACCGCCUGGCCCUGCCGCACCACCAGCGCGUUGGAGUCCACCGAAAUAACCUGAGAGCCAGCGAGCAAGCGAGCCAGUGGGCAGUGUGUUAGGAAAGCUCACCGGAGGAGGACACCGGGUGGGCGCGAUGCAGAUACAGAAGGUUGCCAGUCGAGCUGCCGCGCAGUCGAUGGCGACCAAGCCUUCCAAGCCGCGCUGGUUGUGCUAGCCCGAAGCCAUCUUGCUCUCAUCCCGCCCCCAAAGCCGCCGCGAAGCCCCUCCGCCCCGCCCUGCCCUGCCCUGCCCUGCCCUGCCCUGCCCUGCCCUGCCCUGCCCUGCCCUGCCCUGCCCUGCCCUGCCCUGCCCUGCCCGCCGCCGCUCACCGCCGCCCCCAGCGCCACCGCCGCCUGGUGCUCCUCGCUCAGCCCCCUCAGCGGCUCCAGCGCCCCCAACACCGCCAGCCGCUCAGCCACCAGGUCGCUGCGGACAGCCUCCGCGCCGCGACGAAGCGCCCGGGCCGUCACCAGCAACACGUCCACGCCGUCCAUGCCUGUGGGAAUACGGUAAGCAAACCGACAUACGGUGAUAUCAACAAACCUGUCGAGCACCGCAUCACUACGAGUACCACAACACGCACAGACCAGGGCUAUGAUACUUAAAGCACAACAGCUACGUCCAGCAUGCCCAAACCCAACACCCGCUCCAACCAGCAUGAAUGCACAAGCAGUCCGACGCACCCGCCACCGCCGAGUGCGCGCGCUUGGGCCGCUGCGCCGGCUUGAGCGCCCGGUCCAAUGCCGCCAGCGGCAGCUCGCCCGCCAACGCGCCCGGCUCCACGCGGCCCGACACGGGGCCGUACAGCUGCUCCAGGUGCUCCUCCUCCGCAGCCUCCGCAUCCUCUGAGCCGUCAGGCGCCGCCGCCGCCGCCGCCGCGGCGGCGGCGGCGGCGGCGGCGCCCUUGCCGCGGCCCGGCGACGGGCGCGGAGAGGCGUCAUCAGCGUCAAAGAACUCGUCGUCGACGUCAGCACCGUCGGCGCCGCCGGCGUCGCCGUCGACGUCGGCGGCUGCGCCGGAUCCCUCGUCGAGCACGAGCUGUGCGCCGUCAGCGGCGCCGGUUCGGGGGCUGGCGCCUGUCCCCGCGGCUUGGGUGGCGGCGGCGGCGGCGGCAGCGGCGGCGGCGGCUCGGUCGGGCGAGGGGCUGCGGUCCGCCAGGCCCAUCACUCGCUCCACGGCGUCGAUGUACCUGCGGGGGAGACAGUGGGAGCAGGGAGCGACGCGAGGGUGGUGGUGGUGGUGGUGGUGGUGGUGGUGGUGGUGGCGGUGGCAAUACAAGACCGGUGAGGCAGCGUCGGCAGCAGUGCCACGACUGCUGAUACAAUUGUGCGCAGGUCGGGGUGCCUUUACUACAACGCAGCCCUGAAACCAGGGCUUGAACAUGGUGGUGAGCGCACAGACAACAGCAAGCGCCUGCCUCUGACUCAGCCCACCCGCCCGUCCCCCCCCCCCCGGGCGGCGACAUUUAUCGCCGGCGCCGCUCGUCCUGCUGCUCCGCGACGCCUCGGCCCACCUCCCAUAAGUAUUGUCGCUUGCAACUAACGCCCCUGCCUGUGCUCCGCUCAUUUUUGUUGGUUUUGGUUUAGUUUGGGGCUGGUAUAUACAACCCACCAACCCCACCUCUGCCCCCACACUUCACACACACGCGCCUGAUGGGCUUGGUCCGGAUGCGGAAGUGGCGGUCCAGGUAGGUCAGCCGCACCCACGGCUCCUCCUCCUCCCGGUCCUCCUGCACGUGCACCUCAUCCAGAUCCUCGUCGUGCGCAAGCGCCUUGCCGGCGUCGGCGGCGCCACAGGCGGACGCUGUGGCGCCGCCGAAGCGCACGUGCUCGCCGUCCUCGCGCGCCUCAGCCUCAUCGCUGUAAGCAAAGGGGAUGGGGCGGGGCGGGGCGGGGCGGGGCGGGGCGGGGCGGGGCGGGGCGGGGCGGGGCGGGGCGGGGCGGGGUGGGUUGGGGGGCGGAGCUCAGGAUUGGAGUGAAGGGGUGAGGAGGCAAAGCGGGUGGCCGGUUGACCGGUAGGUGAGGGACUGGUAAGAGAUGUAGCUGGGUGCGGCAAGGGAGAAGGCAGGCAGUGCAUUGCAUUGCAGUUUAGUGCAGUGCAACAGCACAAGCAGACGUGCAGCAUGUACAGCACGUUCACAUCCACGGCAUUGCGCCGCGCCACAAAGCGAUGCGAGGUCCAUGCCGAAGUCGACAGGCCGGCGCAUGUACAUGCACGCAACGCAACGCAACCUAACGCAUGCACAUGCACACGCUUCAAGCACGUGCGCCGCCCAUGUGCCCAGGUGCCAAGGUGCGCCGGUACGCAGGUGUCCGGGGGCUCCACUCACAGGUUGUUGUGUAAGUAUAAGUACAAGUAUAAGUAUGUCAGUAUAAGUAUCAGUAUCAGUAUCAGUAUCAGCGCGGGGCUCCACUCACAGGUUGUUGUACGAGCCGGCGCCGUGUCGGAUGCCGCGUUCGUAGGCGCUGGCGGCGGCGGCGCCGCCCAGCAGGCUGCCCAUGUCUGCAUGCGCGCGACCGUGUUCGUGUGUGAGAAAGACACAGGUCCGCUCCGGCAGGCGUGCUAUGAAACAACUCGCCAGGCCAACACAAACACUCUCCAAACCCGCCCGCCCGCCCCCCCCCCCACACACACAUACACACACACGCACCCUUGACGCCGCCAGCUUCCUCCAUCUUCCGCCGCUCGUACUCCUGCAGCAUGGCGUCCUGAUGCUCGUCCAGCCCGCCGCCGCCGCCGCCGCCGCCGCCACCCUGGCCCGCCGCCGCCUCCCCCGAGGCCGUGUGUGUGGCCACGUACGCCGCCCGCUUCCAGGCACUCACAGCCUUGGCGGCGGGCGCCGCGCCGCCGCCGGCGCCGCCGGACUGGGACAGCGGCGGCGGCGCGACGCUGGGCGCGGGGCCGCCGGUGUCGCCGCGUUUCUGCAUGGGGUCAGCGCAGCGGUACGUAGGUGAGGGAGUGUAGGCGGAGUUCAAAUGGGCGGACGUGCGUCAGCUGCUGUGCGCUCAAGAGGUGCGUGCGUGUGUGUAUGUGUAUGUGUGCGUGUGUGUUAAAGAGCACAAGGAAAACAUUACGAGUGUGCGUGUGUGUGUGAGAGAGAGUACGUGUGUGCGUGUGUGUGUAUGAGAGAGAGUACGUGUGUGUGAGUGCGUGUGUGUGUAUGUAGAACCGGGUGCGCCGCUGCACAAGGCGGCGCCACCACACAUGAGCUUCACCCAGGUAUGCAUGCGGUCUGGCCAGGCCAGGCAUGAUCCUAACGUGCCGUACAUGCACGCGUGCACCCGGCCCCUGGUCGCCAGGCAAGUCGUGGGUUUUGCUUGUCGCGUCCGCGUGCCUGUCGUGUGCUGUUAUGCGCGCCACCGAGCCCGGGCGGCGACAUUUAUCGCCGGCGCCGCUCGCCCUGCUGCUCCACGACGCCUCGGCCCCCAUCCCAUAGGUAUUAUCGCUUGCAACUAACGCCUCUGCCUGUGCUCCACUCGUUUUCGUUGGUUUUGGUUUAGUUUGGGGCUGGUAUUUACAACUCUCCCCCCCCACCGCCAUCCCGCCAACGCCGCCGCUGCCACGCCGCGCCCGCCAUACACACGGCACGUGGGACACACGCGCACGAACACCCAGAGCCCUGCAGCCGGUUCUUACGAGAGGCUCGCCCCGCAGCUCACCCGGUUCAGGAACUCCAGCAUCCACUUCUUGAACUCGUCCUCCACGGCCUUGGCGCGCACCGGCCUCAUGCUGGCCUGCUGACGAGGCGGCGAGCGCAGCCCCUCGCGCUGCAGGGCCAGAGACUGCUUGAUGGCCUCACGGGCUGUGUGUGUGGGGGAGGGGGCGGCGGCGGAGGGGUUCCAGGCAAUGAUUACGGUUUAGUUGGGAGAAGGCGAGCGGUGGGGGCGGGCGAAGGCGGAUUGGACACCCAGGGGCACAGGGCUGCGGGUGGCAGGGAGCCGGCAGAUGCCAACUUGAACACCACGGUCACGCACAACCCCCCACACUCACGCACCCCUACGCCUGUUGUCUGCUUCUUAACUUGGCUACACUCCUCUGCACCACUCUUUGCACCCGCCCCAACCACCGCCACCACACUGCGACUCACACUUGCGCUCGUCCUCAAUCUUCUGCUUCACGGUCCGUGUGUCCGCCGCCGCCGCCGCCGCCGCGGCCCCUCCCGGCCUCAGCCGGCCUGCGCUCUUGGCUCGGCUGGCCGCCGCCGCGCUCUUGAGUGCCGAGCGCAGUGCGGCGCGGUUGGCGGCGCCGUCACGACGUGGCCGGAUGCGCUCCUGGGAGCAGCGCGGAGAAGGGCGGAGAAGGGCGGAGAGGGGCGGCAGCAGCCGACCCACAUCAGUCAGCGUCUCCCUGGCAUCGUGCCCUGACAUGCCCAUUGGGUAAAAGGUCUUUGGCUGUUGGGGGCUGCCCGCUUCACCUGCCCACACGCAGGAACCCCUGGGCGUCGGUUUGAAGGCAAGGCUUCGGGAACGCAUAUCCGUCCACCUUGCCAUCCCCCGCCCGGCCUACCUCCCCACUUUCCUCCCACCCCUACCCUGACCCCACCUGCACCGCCCCUGCCCCCUGCCCCUACCUGCACCGCCCCCGCCAGCACCACGAACUGGCUCUCCGCGCGCGUGUGCUCCUCGUACAGGAUGGUGCCGGCAGGCAGACGCCGCAGCGCAGCCGCCUCGGACAGCGCCUUGAUCACCGGGGGAGCGGCCGAGCUGAGACCCUGCGUUUGGAGGCCGUGCAGGAUCGCCGAUAACCCAUGUACGCGUGAGGCAAAUAGCCUGCUCCUGCUUGUGUGCCAACCCCUCCACAUCCCCCUGCCCGCCCUCACCCGCCCUAACCUGCCCUCCAGCUGCUCCUCCGCCUCGCCCUCCUGACCACCCCUGACCUGCCCUUCCUUGCCCCGCCCAACCGUCCCCCUCCUCCACCUGCCCUCCUCCACCUGCCCUCCUCCAUCUUCCCCUCUUCAUGUGCCUGCCUGCCUGUCAAGACCGCAUCUUGCCUGUCACCUCCCCUACUUCCCCUUCCCCGCCCUCCUCCAUCUUCCCCUCACCGGCAGCUGCCGCAGCACCGCCGCCAGGUCCUCCGCCUGCUCGGGCGUGCGGCGGGCCGGCUCCGUGGCGGCCAGCGAGCGGGCGAUGCAGCACAGCAGCGCCAGCCGGGCCUCCGCACACUCGGGCUGCGCAUGGGUGUGCGGGAUCCAUGGGAGUGGAUGGGUGGAUGGGUGAAUGGGGGCGGGUGGGUGGCUGGGUGCGUGGCGUGGCGUGGAGUGGGAGUGGGCUGGAGCUCCCGGGCUGAUCGUGACAGAGACGUCCUAGCGGGGUGGCGGGGCUGUUGCAGGGCGGUGGCAGGGCGGGGCCUGUGCCGCAGCCUCCAGACAUGACGGCCCGCAGCACCUACCGACACCCAGCCCCUAGCCCCUAGCCCCCAUCACCCAACACUCAGCCCCCAGCCCCCAGCCCCCAGCCCCCAGCACCCAACACCCAGCACCCAACACCGGCCCGAACUCAACCCCAUCGGCCCUGCAUUCCGCAACCACCCCACCUUGGCCCACCCUUGCCACCCAACCACCAACCAACCCAGCUAACCAACCAAACCACCGGCGGCGCACCUGCGACGGCGCACGUGCGCACAGGUUGCUGAACGACGUGCGCGUUAUGACCGCGAACGCCGCGCCGCCGCCGCCAGCGCCGCCGCCGCCAGCGCCGCCGCCGCCAGCGCCGCCGCCGCCAGCGCCGCCAGCCGCCGACGCCGAUUCCGUGCUGACCCUGACGCUGACGUCAGACGGGCGGCCGGACAGCACAAGCGACGCCGCCGCCAGCGCCUGCGAGGCCGCACAUGGACAGGGCGAGGGAGUUGCAGAGAUUGGUACAGAGAAGUGCAGCGAAGUAGACAGGUUACAUGCAUGAUUAUUUAACAAGUGACGCGGGGGAAACAGCACGGUCGUGUCAGGCGCCAACGGUAUUUUGUCGUUGUGCCCCCAUGACCUAGACCGGCCGGGCACCGCCGGCCCGAGCCACAGGCCGCCGCAGCCACCCGGAACCCAAUGAACCCGGACUCACAUCUGCAUUCACAGCGUUCCUGCUUGCUACGAUGGCCAACGAUUCCAACCGUCCAUUCCCAAGCCCCAAUUACCCACCACCGAUGCCGGUAAGCCCACGCCGCGCCUGCUGCAGCCCCGGCAGCCCUAGCUACUGCCGCUUCCCCCGCCCUUGCCCCCUUCCCACCCGCCCUCGCCUCCCCCCGCCCCCUUUCUCCAUGCCUCCCCGCCCGACCCACCCGGCCCACCCACCAACUACUCCCCAUCCAAUCCACGCCCUCCGCCGCCCCACCCGCCCCACCUGCCCCCUACUCCCCACCCGGCCCCACCCGGCCCCAUGCCCCCUGCUCCGUGCCUCCCCACCCGGCCCCACCUGCCCCGGCUGCACCUCCUCGCCGAGCGGCUGGUAGCCCUCCCGCCGCGACUGCCGCACCAGCGAGCAACGGCCCGACAGCAGCAGGUACCUGACAGGUAGAGAUGCAGGAGGGGGGGGGGGGUUGAGGGCGGGGCAGGGGGGGCAGGGGGGUUUACGUUGAACCAAUCCCGUAAGGAAACAGUCGCGCGGCAAGGAGAACUGCAGCUGCAGGGGGGGCGGGCAGGGACGAGGGCGGGGCACCAGAGGGGCAGGGGACGGGAGGAACAGUCGCGCGUGUGCCCGUGUGCUCUUCCAUCAGCCACGCAUAUCAUCCACGUCAGCAAGUCAAGCAGCCCUGACUGCCGCCGUACAGCCCCGACUGCCGCCGUACAGCCCCGGCUGCCGCCGUGCAACCCCGUACAGCCCCGUACAGACCCCGUACAGCCCCGACUGCUGCCGUACAACCCUAGCCGCUCUCGAGCCUCACAGGCGAUCUGUGAGCUCGCCAUGGUGCAGCAGCGUCUCGCCCGGGGCAGCACGUUGCAGCGCUGCAGGGGGGGGGGGGGAAAGGGGAGGGGAGGGAGCGACACGUGAGGAUGGAAAGUAGGGAACACUGCGUGAGGCGCAGGCAAGAGUGCAAGAGACCCCGGGGCGGCCCGACGCUUGUACGGGUGCUAGGUUGGCAUAGGCAUGUUUGCGGGCGCUGAGUCGAACUGGGUUGAGGAGGGGCAGGGGGGAUGCUCGGGCACAGCAACGGCGCAGUUUGACUAGGGUACGUUGUUACCGUGCGUGGCACUUACUGAGGUAGCCCGCUAGGACUUUCAGGUUGGGGAACUCCGCGCCCGCGAAGAAGGGCUGCGCGGACAGGCAAUCAGGCACAGCUCAAGCGUCACUGCAUGUGGUUGCUUUCGUGUGGUUCAAUAGGGCCGCUGGUGAGCCGGCCGUGCCCCAUACAGCGGCACGACCGUGGACCUUGGCCGGCAAGAAAGCCCCAAACACCCGCCCAAAACAGCGUCCCCCGCUCAGAAUGCUUACGUGCUCCUCGAGCAACGCGACCAGCUGCUCAACAUCCUCUGCGCUUCGCUGGGCCGGCCUGCACAAUACACGGUUUCAAUUGUUGAGCGUCUACGGCGGUUUAAGAGCCUUGACAGCUUUGGGGACACAGCCGCGCUUGCAUGGCACUCCCGGUUGAUGGGCAUAGGGUCGCGCGCCAAGCCUAGAACGGCUUCAACACCACCCGCACAUGUCAGCGGCUGAGGUCGACUAGUCGUUACUUACUUUACGCUGAGAACAUUGACAAAUGCGGAUACUGAUUCGUCUGUAUCCAUGCUCUAGAAAGCCUCAAGAAGCCCACCCGGUUACAAUUGGCCGUUUAGCCGCUCCGCAACUCAGCUCGGGUGCUUUCAUCCAAGUUCCGACAAUACCUAGGCAUCCUUUACAUGUGACGUUUGGUAUAGGCGGUUCUGCUUGCAGCGCAGGCGAACUUUACAGUGCGCUGUAAGCUUAUGAGUGGUGUAGAGAGUAUGAUGCAGUAUACUAUGUUGGCUCUGAGUAUUCAAUGUAGGGAAAAACCGACAGGCAGCGGGCAUGGGACGUGAUCCCCCUCCCGGCCUCGCCUUAGUGCCGCCCCCCCCCCCCCCCCGCCGCCCCAAGCCGCCCCGACCCUUCGGCCAUGCCACUCACCGCAGUGGUGACGCCGGCAACAAUGCACGAGCUUAGCAACAGUCAGAUUGACAAUGUGAACAACUGGAAGAAUUCAUGCCAGACCUGCACACUGUGGGCCUCGAUGCCCAAAGACUAGCCAUCUUGGCCCAGGUUUGGCGACAUGUUGCGCAUCCGUUGCCACGACACCCCAAGGCAACCGAAGCCCCGUGCCAUCUCUCUCCUCAAGACUUGUACUCGGCCAGGGUUGCACCGUGGGGUUGCAUGGCUUGAACCCCUUGGAAUGGACAGAUUGACAGAGUGGGCCGCACCAAAGCCUGGCGGCUGCUUCCCGCCUGCCUCACUGUGGCCUCGCUGGCUCGAUGGCGUGCUUGGCACAGAGUCUGCCGACGUGGCGGCCGCUGACGUCGGCGGUGCGGAGGCCGCCGACGUCGGCGGUGUGGCCGUGUGGGGCCAAGGCAGUGUGACAACGGGGGGCAGGGGGGCAGGGGGACACGGUGGUGGUGAUACAUGUGGGGGGGGGGGCGUGGCGGGACGCAGCACUGCACGGUCAGCACGGAGUUGCACAUCGACACGGAUGCAGAGGAUGAGGUUAUGGCCAACCCUAAGAGGAAAGGCGAGGGAGGAGGAGGAGGGGGGCGGUUGUGGGGCCUGCAGCCGGGCUGGGCGGGUGGGUUCGGGACUGCUUUAGAGGGCGGGCAGUGUGAGUGGGAGCUAGCCGUAUCCAGGCCCCGUAAAGGCUACAAGCACGAAUCUGCACGGCAGGAUUGUGGGGGCCUCUCCAACUGGCUCAGGCCCAGAGCUCAUGAGUCACUUCCCGUCUGACUGCUCUCCGCAUGCCUCCCUCGUGCCUACCCAAACAGCCGCUGCCUCUUUUCCUCCACCUCCUCAGGAGACGUUCCUGGAGAAGCACAACGUCAAGCUGGGUUUCAUGAGCGUGUUCGUCAAGGCGGCGGCACACGCGCUGCAGGUGCGGCUGGGGCUCGAGGGGUUAGCAGGGCGGGUGGCGGUGGCGAUGGGGGUCCGGCCGCAGGCGCCGUGUGCAGGCGCUUUGCACAGUGCAUGGCGGGACUGUGUUGCCUUGUGUCGCCCGUGCGGCCGAGGCCACGGCUUUAGACAAGACGGACAGUCCGCAGCAGGGGAGGGGGGUGUGCAACUCGGCCUGGAUCCAGGGUCGCGCUGCAUGGGACCCGGCCAAAAGGUGUUCGGACCCCUCCCAAGGAGCUCCCGGCCAUUCAUUUGUGUUUGUAAGACAACUGUAUAGUCAUUAGAACUGAUAGCGGGCCAGAAACCAGCCCAUAUAGCGGGCCGGCCAUUGACAAAUUGCGCGCACUGGAAACACCACGAGCGAAAUUCCGGCUGCUUGCAAUCACCCCAAAGGCUCUUCAGCUAACUAUGAAACUGAUGAGACCUCCAGAAAGCGACGGGCGCGGCCCCUCAGGGGCGAUGCCCGAUGCCCUGCAGACCCUUCGCGGGAAAGGCCGUUUUGGAGCCCUUUCCGAGGCCCGCCGAAGCCAGCGGCCCCUGCCGUCCGCUCUAGACAUACGUACAGAUGCCAUAUUCAGGGGUUUGGUCCGUGUCUAUUGGUGUUAACAGGGGUGCGCAGCCCUGGAGGAGCGCCUGGGAGCGCUGGGAGGAGAGGGAACCUGGACCGGGAUCCCCCAGCACCUCACCGGACGUAAAACGCAUACAUGCUACAUAUAUUGCGUGUCAUGCCUCCCCUGUGCCCCUUUAGAUGACAAUGUUAGGUAUGGCCUUCCCAGGUCCCAAGCCAGGUCCCUGCGCCCCGCUGCUCCAAACGAACGUGCAAGUUGCAAAUGUCUUACGCUGCCCUGCGUGCUUCCUUUAACUGACUGUUCCAACUGAGGGAGGUAGUGAGAACUACCGGGAUGGGCGUUGAAGGCCCGUGCGUGCCACUGUGCCGCGCAACACGGCCAA
RNAcentral lists this long non-coding RNA (16795 nucleotides) under Chlamydomonas reinhardtii. RNAcentral describes it as "long non-coding RNA (CREI_LNC000633)". Lineage: Eukaryota; Viridiplantae; Chlorophyta; Chlorophyceae; Chlamydomonadales; Chlamydomonadaceae. The record is from RNAcentral.